This is a long non-coding RNA of Coccinella septempunctata (seven-spotted ladybird), 802 nucleotides long. RefSeq lists it as uncharacterized. The transcript has 3 exons. The record is from RefSeq and is a predicted model, not a curated record. NCBI's taxonomy places the organism in Eukaryota, Metazoa, Arthropoda, Insecta, Coleoptera, Coccinellidae.
AGAUAGAUAGAUAGAAUAGUUUAUUGUGACAUAAACAUGAAUCGCAGAGGCUGAAGCCUGUACGCGAUAUACAAUUACUUAACAUAUAAACAUUAUUACAGUAGCCACAUUUAAAAUGAAAUCUUAUUCCGAAUCAAAAACGAACCAACGAAGAAAUCAACGAACUAUAUCAAAAAUGAAGUGUCGAUAAUUCAGUAACAACUGUGUGGUGUUGUACCCAUGUUUUGUUGAAGUGUAGUACAGUAUUACCAACGCAUCAACCAGAGUCCAAUCCGAGGUUCUUCGGGAUCAUGCAAUAUAUGCGUGGAGCUAGGUAUGUGAAGCAUCUUUGUCCAAUUCGCUUUUCAGCUCUAGGAAUCACGUGGAUUAUCUUACCCCUAGUUUCAUACCUACAUUCGGUUUGUCUUAAAGUGAGGUGAACUUUCCCAGAACAGAUGGCCGUUAAUAUCUGGGAUACAAACAACUGGUGAGGAUUCAUUGCCCGUGAUAAGGCGUAUAAUUCGUCCGAUGGAAACAAAUGGGGCUUUCCAUGGAUUACACGGAGCAACCAUUUCUGGAUCACUUCUACUCUUUUCAUGUGGCAUUCGUAUGCUCCGCCCCAGGCAAUAAUUCCAUACUUUAUUAGCGAUUGGCAUAGAGCAUUAUAUAUCAGCAUAAGCUUUUCGAUGUCCAGAUACUUUUUAAGGUGUCUAUCGAUUGUAAUGCCGAGAUACUUGAUGGAGUCAGUUUCGGGUAUUGCUGUGAAGUCGUUGACUUUCAGAGGACCCAAGUUCGGGAGUCCUGUCUCAUAGGAAGUAAAUGG